UAGAAUAAAGCUCGCUGGAUAGAGUGUUUAGCUGUUAACUAAAAGUUUACGGGAUCAAGGCCCGUUUUUCUAG
Molecule: transfer RNA, 73 nt
Filed under: Phyllobates terribilis
Lineage: Eukaryota; Metazoa; Chordata; Amphibia; Anura; Dendrobatidae
Also listed under: 2 other names
Description: tRNA-Asn
Rfam family: tRNA
About the family: Transfer RNA (tRNA) molecules are approximately 80 nucleotides in length. Their secondary structure includes four short double-helical elements and three loops (D, anti-codon, and T loops). Further hydrogen bonds mediate the characteristic L-shaped molecular structure. tRNAs have two regions of fundamental functional importance: the anti-codon, which is responsible for specific mRNA codon recognition, and the 3' end, to which the tRNAs corresponding amino acid is attached (by aminoacyl-tRNA synthetases). tRNAs cope with the degeneracy of the genetic code in two manners: having more than one tRNA (with a specific anti-codon) for a particular amino acid; and 'wobble' base-pairing, i.e. permitting non-standard base-pairing at the 3rd anti-codon position.
Source: RNAcentral